This 1359-nucleotide long non-coding RNA is filed under the name Sus scrofa (pig). RNAcentral describes it as "lncRNA (ENSSSCG00070013916.1)". Lineage: Eukaryota; Metazoa; Chordata; Mammalia; Artiodactyla; Suidae. The record is from RNAcentral.
GUCAAAAUGGAGCUGCAGCUGAGGCCAUAGCAACAGCAAAUCUGAGUCACAUGUGUGACGUAUGCCACAGCUUGCGACAUCACCAUAUCCUUGACCCACUAAGUGAGGCCAGGGAUCAAACUCACAUCCUCACAGAGGCAACGUCCGGUACUUAACCCACUGAGCCACAACAGGAACUCCUGGUUAUGUAUUUGAUACUGCUUUUAAUGACAUAUGAAAGUUGUAGUUGCCCACAUCCUUACCUGCACUUGAUAUUGUCUUUUUCAUUUUAGCUUUUCUAGUAGUCAUAUAAUGUUCUCUCAUAGUGGUUUUAUUUAUUUUUUUUAAUUUUAUUUUAUUUUUUGUCUUUUUUUUAGGGCCCCACCCACGGCAUAUGGAGGUUCCCAGACUAGGGGUCGAAUCGGAGCUAUAGCUGCCAGCCUACACCGCAGUCAUAGCCAUGCCAGAUCCAAGCUGUGUCUGUGACCUAUACCACAGCUCAUGGCAAUACCGGCUCCUUAACCCACUGAGCGAGGCCAAGGAUCAAACCUGGGUCCUCAUGGAUGCUAGUCAGAUUCUUUUCUGCGGAGCCACGAUGGGAAUUCCUCUCAUAGCGGUUUUAAUUUGUGUCUCUCUGAUGACUAAUGAAGUCAAGCACUGUUUCAUAUGUCUGUUUCUUAUUGACUUAUGGGGGCUCUUUAUAUAUUAUGUCUAUGAGUCCUUUGUCAGAUUUACAUCUAACAAAUCAUAUACAGCACCUGGUUAUUUACAGUCAUAAUGACGCCUUAUAGUUGAGUAGCAUUUGAUAGUUCCCAAAAUUAUAUUUCCAUAUACUAUCUCUUAAGAUCCUCACAACAACCCUGGAGGUAGAGAGACAAGGUAUUAUUAUCCUAAUUUAAAGAAGGGCAACCUGCCCAGGAUUACACAAGAGACAAAGGAGUGGGAGGAGUGCCUUGGUCACACCACCAAAUCAUGGUCAGAGUUGUUUCCUUGUAAUAGAAUGAUACAAUCAUGCAGUUCAGGAACUGGGCAAUGAGUAAACCCUGCUUUACCAGCUGACAAACACACAGUAUCUCACCGUAGGGCUAACUCUUGUUAGUCAAUGCAGGCCCCACAUGAAUAGGUCAGUUGGGAAACCCAGACCUCCCCUUCUCUCCUCCUGGCUCCACCCCCUCCCUGACACCUAGGAAUCACCAUGAUUAUGACCAGGGCUGAUUACUCUGGAAGGUGCCACCCUAGUGCUGUAGUUCCUGGGAGCCUGGUGUCAUGGCUACCUAUGAAACAUUCCAAAGUUACGCCCUUGGAAAGCAAUGCUCUCAUCAACUUCCACUGCUGCCCACAGGAUUUGAGCACAGUGUCCUUAUACCUUAAACAUGUACC